AUUUAUAUAGUAUAAAAAUUAUAUUUAACUUCCAAUUAAAAGAUCUAAGUAAUUAGUAUAAAUU
RNAcentral lists this transfer RNA (64 nucleotides) under Histeroidea sp. 4 KM-2017. Its description in RNAcentral is "tRNA-Gly". The record is from RNAcentral. Lineage: Eukaryota; Metazoa; Arthropoda; Insecta; Coleoptera.